GCACAGAGUUAGCCGGGGCUUCCUCACCCGGUACCGUCAAACUCUGACGUGUUAGGUCAGAGCAUUUCGUCCCGAGCAACAGGAGUUUACAAUCCGAAGACCUUCAUCCUCCACGCGGCGUUGCGUCGUCAGGCUUGCGCCCAUUGCGAACAAUUCCCCACUGCUGCCUCCCGUAGGAGUCUGGGCCGUGUCUCAAUCCCAGUGUGUCCGUCCGCCCUCUCAGGCCGGAUACUGAUCGUCGCCUUGGUGGGCCGUUACCUCACCAACUAGCUAAUCAGACGCGGGCCCCUCUUCAAACGCCAGGUCUUGCGAUCCCCAGCUUUGAUCUCCACCUCUUCAAAGGCAGGAUGUUAUGCGGUAUUAGCGUCCCUUUCGGGACGUUAUCCCCCAUUCGAAGGUAGGUCACCCACGUGUUACUCACCCGUUCGCCACUCUACUCAUGGAUUGCUCCACUUUCGCGUUCGACUUGCAUGUGUUAGGCACGCCGCCAGCGUUGAUU
RNAcentral lists this ribosomal RNA (499 nucleotides) under uncultured bacterium. Its description in RNAcentral is "partial 16S rRNA". The record is from RNAcentral.